Molecule: ribosomal RNA, 442 nt
Filed under: uncultured bacterium
Lineage: Bacteria
Description: partial 16S ribosomal RNA
Rfam family: Bacterial small subunit ribosomal RNA
Source: RNAcentral
CUACGGGAGGCAGCAGUAGGGAAUUUUGCGCAAUGGGCGAAAGCCUGACGCAGCAAUACCGCGUGUAGGAAGAAGCACCUUGGUGUGUAAACUACUGUCGGUGGGGAAAAAUAAAGUGAUUGUACCCACAAAGGAAGCAUCGGCUAACUACGUGCCAGCAGCCGCGGUAAGACGUAGGAUGCAAGCGUUGUCCGGAAUUAUUGGGCGUAAAGAGUUCGUAGGUGGUAAUUUAAGUCUGAUGUUAAAUAAUAGAGCUUAACUCUAUCUCUGCAUUAGAAACUAAGUUACUAGAGUUGGGUAGGGGUCAGAAGAAUUCCUGGUGUAGCGGUGAAAUGCGUAGAUAUCAGGAGGAACACCUGUGGCGAAAGCGUCUGACUGGGCCUAUACUGACACUGAGGAACGAGAGCUAGGGGAGCGAAAGGGAUUAGAUACCCUGGUAGUC